Dipodomys ordii (Ord's kangaroo rat) is the source of this 70-nucleotide non-coding RNA. The record is from Rfam. NCBI's taxonomy places the organism in Eukaryota, Metazoa, Chordata, Mammalia, Rodentia, Heteromyidae.
UGGAAUGUGGCUUAGUGGUAGAGUGCUUACCUGGCAUGCAUGAAGCCGUGGGUUCAAUUCCUCAUUUCCA